RNAcentral lists this long non-coding RNA (219 nucleotides) under Mytilus galloprovincialis (Mediterranean mussel). The record is from RNAcentral. Lineage: Eukaryota; Metazoa; Mollusca; Bivalvia; Mytilida; Mytilidae.
AAAAAAAAUACAUAGAAAGCACUGGAAAUUCAUUGAAAAGGGGAGAUAACUCUUUAUUGUGUACAAAAUUUUGUUGCUUUGUUAGUAAACUUUAAAACCAUUUCAUGAGCCAUCCACUGUUGAUUCAAAAAUAUCUUUGACAUAUAUAUCCUUUGUAUGAUAUAAACAUUGCAUUAAAACCAAAAAUUCAGUGGGAAACAAAUUAUGUUGUGCCAUCCA